ACUCUUCUGCCACCGGGUAGGAGAGUUAAGCGUCAGAUUUUCUAUCGUUAGGUCUUAGAAGAUAGAAAAUACUGGCGCUUUCUUAUU
RNAcentral lists this non-coding RNA (87 nucleotides) under unclassified sequences. The record is from RNAcentral.